AAUGAUUACAUGGAAGAAGUAAAAUUGGUGUUUGCAAUGUUUCGUAAUAGUGUUGGCUUUUGAAGGAUUAUUCAUUUGAAAAUCAACGGAUUUUCCUUGUUCAUUCAUCUGAGCUGCUGAUCCAGAAAAUAACGAGCUACUCUUUUUUCUAUCAUGCCGGUUCCAUCACACUGUUAUCACCAAUUCAACCCAUUUCAACCUAAAAAUUAAUUAAUGGCAUGAUUCAUUAAUUGAGAUUAUGUUCAGGAAAUGCUACGAGAAUGCUGAUGCCAGAAGUGAUAUGAAGUAUCUUCUUUGAAAUGAAAAAUCUUCAUCUACUAGUUUUGUCAACCAUUAGUGUUCGCUGUCUCAGGACUCCAGUCUUCGCAGCUCUCUUGUUAUCCAGCCAUAAAUAUUAGCAUCUCCACAUGUCUAGUCCUCACAACUUCUCUACUAGGCCACCUACAACCCAGAGAUCCAAAUGGCUAAUUAUGAACUUUGAAUCUUCUUCUUCGGAUAUCAUCUCAGCCCAUUCUUGGCCGUAUGCAGUCUUCAUCUGAAAAAUUUCUCCGGAUCCCCCCAUCGGCAAUGGCGUAGGAUGUCAACGUGGAUCGCCAUGUCCUUCACGGUAUUGUUUGUUUGUUUUUUGUGUGUUAGUUAACCCAUUGGCUGCCACCCAUUUUUCUCCCCUUUUUUUUUUUAGCUCGUUAGGGACGGGCCGCGCUACUCUGCCUCAUGGUCUAUAUGCCAUGGGGUGGGGUAGUCGCAACUGCCCAAGAUUCGCCGUAAUGGCGCCUUAGGCGAUGCACCGAUAGGGACUUCCCUUAGUCGAUGCGGUGAUAGAUUCCUGGGGUGUGCAUCCCCCUAAUGGUAUCUAUCGCCGUGUCAGCCCGGACUUGUCUUUCCGGACAAGUCCCAUUUGGUCGUGGAUCCAUCAGACAACGAUUCGUAGAAUGUAGGAAAACAGCCUACGGGCUGUAU
Long non-coding RNA from Daphnia carinata, 960 nucleotides. RefSeq lists it as uncharacterized. The record is from RefSeq and is a predicted model, not a curated record. Lineage: Eukaryota; Metazoa; Arthropoda; Branchiopoda; Diplostraca; Daphniidae. The transcript has 4 exons.